UACAGAGGUGGCAAGCGUUGUUCGGAAUUACUGGGCGUAAAGGGCGAGUAGGUGGCCACUUAAGUCAGACGUGAAAUCCCUCAGCUUAACUGGGGAACUGCGUCUGAUACUGGGUGGCUUGAGUGCAGGAGAGGGAUGCGGAAUUCCAGGUGUAGCGGUGAAAUGCGUAGAUAUCCGGGGGAACACCGGUGGCGAAGGCGGCUUCCUGGACCGACACUGACGCUGAGGCGCGAAAGCUAGGGGAGCAAACGGG
Molecule: ribosomal RNA, 253 nt
Filed under: uncultured prokaryote
Description: partial 16S ribosomal RNA
Rfam family: Bacterial small subunit ribosomal RNA
Source: RNAcentral